GAUGAACGCUGGCGGCGUGCCUAAUACAUGCAAGUCGAGCGAACAGACGAGGAGCUUGCUCCUCUGACGUUAGCGGCGGACGGGUGAGUAACACGUGGAUAACCUACCUAUAAGACUGGGAUAACUUCGCGAAACCGGAGCUAAUACCGGAUAAUAUAUUGAACCGCAUGGUUCAAUAGUGAAAGACGGUUUUGCUGUCACUUAUAGAUGGAUCCGCGCCGCAUUAGCUAGUUGGUAAGGUAACGGCUUACCAAGGCAACGAUGCGUAGCCGACCUGAGAGGGUGAGCGGCCACACUGGAACUGAGACACGGUCCAGUCUCCUACGGGAGGCAGCAGUAGGGAAUUUUCCGCAAUGGGCGAAAGCCUGACGGAGCAACGCCGCGUGAGUGAUGAAGGUCUUCGGAUCGUAAAACUCUGUUAUUAGGGAAGAACAAAUGUGUAAGUAACUAUGCACGUCUUGACGGUACCUAAUCAGAAAGCCACGGCUAACUACGUG
This 497-nucleotide ribosomal RNA is filed under the name uncultured bacterium. RNAcentral's name for it is "partial 16S ribosomal RNA". It matches the Rfam family "Bacterial small subunit ribosomal RNA", at positions 28 to 507 of the family's 1533-position model. The record is from RNAcentral.